GAUCCUGGCUCAGGAUGAACGCUGGCGGCGUGCUUAACACAUGCAAGUCGAGCGAAGCACUUAGGAAAGAUUCUUCGGAUGAUUUCCUAUUUGACUGAGCGGCGGACGGGUGAGGUAACGCGUGGGUAACCUGCCUCAUACAGGGGGAUAACAGUUAGAAAUGACUGCUAAUACCGCAUAAGACCACAGCACUGCAUGGUGUAGGGGUAAAAACUCCGGUGGUAUGAGAUGGACCCGCGU
Molecule: ribosomal RNA, 240 nt
Filed under: uncultured bacterium
Lineage: Bacteria
Description: partial 16S ribosomal RNA
Rfam family: Bacterial small subunit ribosomal RNA
Source: RNAcentral